ACGCCGCGUGAGUGAAGAAGGUUUUCGGAUCGUAAAGCUCUGUUGUUGGUGAAGAAGGAUAGAGGUAGUAACUGGCCUUUAUUUGACGGUAAUCAACCAGAAAGUCACGGCUAACUACGUGCCAGCAGCCGCGGUAAUACGUAGGUGGCAAGCGUUGUCCGGAUUUAUUGGGCGUAAAGCGAGCGCAGGCGGAAAAAUAAGUCUAAUGUGAAAGCCCUCGGCUUAACCGAGGAACUGCAUCGGAAACUGUUUUUCUUGAGUGCAGAAGAGGAGAGUGGAACUCCAUGUGUAGCGGUGGAAUGCGUAGAUAUAUGGAAGAACACCAGUGGCGAAGGCAGCUCUCUGGUCUGCAACUGACGCUGAGGCUCGAAAGCAUGGGUAGCGAACAGGAUUAGAUACCCUGGUAGUCCAUGCCGUAAACGAUGAGUGCUAAGUGUUGGGAGGUUUCCGCCUCUCAGUGCUGCAGCUAACGCAUUAAGCACUCCGCCUGGGGAGUACGACCGCAAGGUUGAAACUCAAAGGAAUUGACGGGGGCCCGCACAAGCGGUGGAGCAUGUGGUUUAAUUCGAAGCAACGCGAAGAACCUUACCAGGUCUUGACAUCUAGUGCCAUCUCCAGAGAUGAAGAGU
Molecule: ribosomal RNA, 629 nt
Filed under: Lactobacillus sp. oral taxon 461
Lineage: Bacteria; Bacillati; Bacillota; Bacilli; Lactobacillales; Lactobacillaceae
Description: bacterial SSU rRNA
Rfam family: Bacterial small subunit ribosomal RNA
Source: RNAcentral